AUUUAUCUUGCCAAGCUUGUUUAAAGAUCCUCAUGUGUUAAUGAUGAUUAUUUUCUAUUAAUUGUUAAGUGAAUUGAGUUGCUUGAACAUCUGCUCGAUUACUUGUCUCUUAUGAUUUUUGAUGACCAUUGAGAUUAUAAGACUAGAAAUAACGAAUGUGAAACUAGAAUUAAUUUGAGAAUAAGUAAGUUAAUGUGUGAGCCUUGUUUGAUGACCAUCAACAAGAGGUUAAUUAAAUGUCUACAUUGAUUAACUAUAUUUACAAGUCUUGCUUGAUACGAACUGAACACUAGGAAGCAUGUUAGUUUAAUCAACUGAUCACUGUUUAAAUUGACUUGUUUGCUAAAGGAUUAGUUAUAGUGAACGCGAAUCUAAUCAUUUUAGGAAUCGGUGAACAUGAAUAAAUGAAUUUGUGUAUGCAAUUGUCUAUGUUUUUAAGGUGUAAUUUAUCUAAACCAAAGUACCUGAAGAGAUUUGCUUUCCUGUUAGUUUAUCGAGAGUUGUUAAUUGUUAGUUUGAGAUUUAUUAAACCAUUUUCUUUAUUAUUUUCGUGUGACCUGUAACCUAUAAUCAAAUAUAUUAAAUUAAUCCACCGUUCCCUGUGAUCGACACCCGACUUACCUAAGCUAUACUGUAAUCUGACUAGGUACACUGCCUAUAAGUGCAUAGAUAGUCUAAGUUUGUUAGGUUAUAAAUAUUAAAAUUAGUGGGUACUUUUGUGCACAUCAAGUUUUUGGCGCCGUUGCCGGGGAACGGCUUGUCAUUAAUUUAUUUUAUUUGAUUAUUCGUUAUUUGUUUUUAGUUAGUUUUUAUUUUUAGUUUGAUUUUCGAUGAUAUCAUUUCACUUGUCGGGAAGGUUCUUGUUUUUAUUUUGCAGGAAUUUGGGAUUGUACACAUUGCUUGACUUUACUUUUUGCAUGGGUUUCGAGAAUGAAAGCGAUUAGGGAAUUCUUGACCUGCUUAGCCUACUACUUUGUUGAUUUGUCCAACUCAAUCCAUGAGGCGUAGUAUAGCAAGGCGUAUUGUGGUGGUUAAGUGGAAGACCAAGCUCUUGCUGUUCUUGACUAGUUAGGUCACUUCUUGUUCCGCUUCUAGUUAAAGGUGCAAGGAAAACAAAGGAAAUAUUCUAACGGGUCCCGAAAGUGGGUGUUUUCGCAAACCAAUUCUUGCAUGCAAAGGUUUUUGAUCAACCAUUGUUGUUUGAUCUUGACAAAGAUAAGUGAUUAUGACAUCUCCGUUUUUUUUAUCACUCAUCGUGAAGUCAUCAUUAGCUGAAGAAAUUAAAAAGAAAAAAAAAUAAAUAAGUUUUAAGCCCCUAGAUUAAAUAAUUAAAAAGAAAAGGAAGUUAAAUUAAAGAAAGAAGGAAAAUUUUCAUUUAAACUUACGCCCCGCGUAAGUUAUAUUACGCAAAGCGUACACCAACAUCUGAUCGCGUAUGAAUUUUCAAGGGGAUAGAAUUACGCCCCGCGUAAGGCGACGACCAGGUAUAUCUUUUGACCCUUUGACUGUGUUGUGUAAUUCUUUCAAUCCUCUCCUUUCUCGCAUACGUUGUGACGGAAGAAGCCUCCUAAAGAUCCUCAAUUUUCUUUCGUUUCUUGUUAAAUCCAACACAAAAGUAAGUAUUUCGGAUACUCAAUGGCUUGGAUUUAUGUUAAUUUGAUGAAAUAAGCUGCAUUUAGCUUUUGCUCGAAAUCUAGGGUUCAUAGUGUUCUUGAAUUAGGGCCGAUUUCGCUAUUAUGUGUUCUAAUUACCACUUGAAUGGAUCGAUUUCUGCCAAUUGAUUAAACCCUAGGACCUAAUUUUGUCUUAAUCCCGUCCCAUAUCCAUCGAUUAAAGCUUGGGGUCGCACGCCAAGCGUACGCCCUGAAAAAUCGAUUGACUGCCCUAUGAAGUUUCUCUGUUAAUUGUUUACCAAUCUUGAAUAGAUGAGGAACUAAUAGGGGAUUGAUUUAUCAUUUUGGUCAUAAGUUUUAAGGGUGGUCACGUUUUUUGUUCCUACUGCAUUUGGACCACGAAAUGUUAACAGUUUGCUGCCCUGCUGUGUUUAUUUUGAGUUGGGGAAUGGUUUAAGCACGAGUAAUAGAACCGACACAGAUCUGUUGAACCUGGACGUACGCCCAGCGUAUGCUGGAUGUACGCCCAGCGUACUGCACCUAUCCAACCCCAUUUUUUUUUAGUUUAAAAAAUUAUUAAUGUUGUGAUAUUUUGUUUGGAUUUGUGUGUGUGUUUAUUUGUGCUGAUUAUGGCUCGAAGGACACAAAGAACCAACCCACCCGAGGAUGUUACCGAUCAUCGUUUUUUACAAUUUCCUCCGCAAACGCUGAACGAUGCUACCCGGGCACGUUAUGUUACUAACUUGAGUUUGCUUCUCACAAAAGAGAUUGAUAUUGCACCCUCAUUUGAUUGGGAAUUGGCUACCAGGACUGGACUUGUUGCAUUGAUCCAGUAAUUUUUGCAAUACACACACUCGGACGCGAGUGGUGUGGAAUUGUUUGUGUGUCAGGGAUGGGCGCGUUUGUUCAGGAUCCAGGAGCCUGUAUAUCGGGAGUUUUUGCUGGAGUUUUACGCUACAGUUUCCUAUGAUCCUAGGAAGGCACUCGAUGACAGGACGGCCUUUGCUUUCAGACUGGGAGGAGUGAGCCGGGAAUGCAGCGUGAUAGAGCUUGCGACUCGGGUGGGUAUUUACACAGUCGAUGAGACGAGGAGUGUUCACUUCCCGGCAUUACUUGCUGACUGUCUCACGGACCGACCAGAAGACUAUAACGAGAACACCUUUUGGGCCGAGAUUACGGGAGGAGUUUAUACACCAUCUACCGCUCGAGGGGGGAUGAUUCGGUCCACUACAUACCGAAUGUUGCACCGGUUGAUUUCUAUGUCUCUCACGCAUCACAAGAAUAGUGAGAGAGUGCCUUCGACGGACCUGUAUUUCCUAUGGGCACUAGUUACUCCAGGGAGGCACCUGAACCUUCCAGUUGCUUUAGCUGCAUACUUGGGACGGAGGGCCAGGGGACUUCGGGGAGAUAGCCCGAUAUGCGGAGGGCAUUUUAUCACACGGUUAGCUCGAUCAUACCAGUUGAUGACACGUGAGAUCACGAGAUCGAUGGUGUUUCACGACAUGAGGCCGAUGAGUCUUCAGCUAUUGGAGUCGAUGCGUGUAUUAGAGCGGGGUGGAGAUGGUGUUUUGAGAGUUCGAGCAGAUGAUGUGGCAGAUGAGGAGGGUGCUGCCGAGCCACAGCCGAGACGGGUCCAGCGGCGUCGACCUGCUCCUCGGGGAGCGCAGCAGGGACCUGAGCGGGAGAUUGAUAUGCGCUACCUGGCUCAGGGCAUUGACCGUCUUAGCGAGUAUGUUGCACAUGUGGACAUGCAACAGCAGUGGUAUGGGAAUGCGUUGAACGCAUUCUUUGCCCAUCAGGGGUUUCAGUAUUCGGUUCCCUUUCCACCACCAUUCCAGUCACGAUUUGAUGGGGCCGGUACUUCUGGGACACAGCCACAUGAUGAUGGAGAUGACGAGUGAUCCUUUUUAUUUUGUUUUAUUUGUUUUGUGUUAUUUUUAGUUUAGUUUAGUUUUUAGUAUUUGGUAUGUAAUUAAACUUUGAUUUAGUUUGUUUUACUUUGUUUUCCAUGUUGAUGCUCUUUGGUUGUUUAGAUUUCUGUAGAAUCUUCGCAAUUAGGAAGCUGGCAGUAAGUUCAACAGCUAGGUCCGACUGUUGCUAAAGAGAGCGGUAUGAGAGUUGAAGAUUAUAGUCGAGACCCACAAUUUGUCAUAAGUGUGAGGUGCAUAUUUAUUUUGUGAGCGAUCGUUUUAAAGAUUGGCAUUGUUACGAUGUUUUGACUCUUAUGAUAUGGAUGAGCAGUUCCCAUGCUAUAGAGUUUUAUUUCGACGCGAGGAGGAAGUAUCGUCCCGGCUGCCACGACAUGGUUGACACUUUCCUAUGUUAUGGGGGAUUUUUCAUCGCGAGUAGAGGAUGUCAUUCUUGACGAGACGACGUGGUCGACACUUUCCCACGUCAUGGUUACUAUACUUUGCAUUUAUUUGCAAUAUUUUGCACCACAUUUUUGAAGAUGGCGGUCUUGAUUUUAUUUUUCGGCAAAUUCAGAGGCAGCAGUUCCAGUUUUCAGUCUUUCGGCGAUAUUUGAAGCAACUUGUAGCAGCCCCAUUCGAUCUCGCCACAACUACCCAGGGGAGUCUGUUCCUUUUUCUCCCUUUUUAUGUUCUUAAUUUGUUUUAGCAUACAAUGAGGGCAUUGUAUGAAAUAAGUGUGGGGUAGGGGAUCGGUAAAAGUAAAUUAAAAUUAAGAGAAAAAUGAAAUUGCUAGAAUUUAGAAAAUUUAAAAAUUUUAAAACUUGAAAUAAUAGUUUAAUUUAGAAAAUCUAGUGAUAAUUUAAAUUUUGCUAAUAUUGUAUGAAAUGAUCCGAUGAGAACUCAAAUGUUUAGUUGAGCCAAUAUACGUUAUAGUGCAUUUGUGGCCUCCCUUAUUUUAGUGAAAUCAUGGAACAAAAACACAACCCCGCUUGGUUUGAGGGAUGCAAUAUGUUUAGCAGCCUAAACCUGAAAUGUAUCCAGGAAAAUUAUUAUCAUUAACCAAUAAAGGUUGAGGUUGAGCGCCUCUGCUUAAGCAUGUAGGUUUUGAGUGAAAAAAAGAAAAAAAAUGAGUUACAUGUGAAAACAAAAGAGAGAGAGAAUUACGAAAAAAGUUUGAAGAAUUUUGUAGCAAAUAAAGUGAAGAUCAAAAGAUCAAAAUUCUGAAGAAAUCCAAAAAGUUGAAGAUACCAGAAAUCAAUUCAAAUAAGGUGGUGAAUUCAAAGAAAUCAAAGAUCAAAAUGCCAAAGAAAUGAAGAAUUCAAAUAAAGCUCCAUAGUGGUAUCGGAAAGUUGUAAUUUUCUAGAAUAUGUAUGCUUAGGUUGCUCAACUAAAAAUACCUUGAGGUUAGGAGGUUUUCUGCGGAUGGAUUCGGAGGGUUGCAUAAAAUGAGCAUUGUUCGGAAAAAGUGGGCGAGUGUUUAUGAAGAUUGUGAGUAUUUAAAAUAUGGGGGGGUACUUUAGGAAAAUAUUAGACACAAAUGUACGCGUUGAGGUCUUGGCAUAAUGGCUGAGUUUUAAAUGGAUUGUUUAGUGCGAUAUUGGUAAAAUAAAAGUAAAUUUGCUUGGGGGCAAGCAAAGGCUAAGUGUGGGGUAUUUUGAUAUGUGUAUUUUUAUAUAUAUUUUUAUACACUUUAUCUUAAUAUUUUGGCCUUAUUUAUUCUAUUUUAGAACUAAAAAGUACUCAUAAUGCUUUGAAUUAUGUUUUGCAGCUAUUUGUUGCCGAUGAAGCACAAAAGAAAAGACUGAAUCGGGAACCGGGCUUAGAAGCUAAAAGAAAUCAAAAUUGCUGAAAAAGUGAGUACGCCCCGCGUAAGGAAAUAGUACGCGCCGCGUACACCUUUGCACCGGAUAUACUUGAUCGCGUGAUUAUCUUGAGUACGCGCUGCGUAAUCCUAAGUACGCCCAGCGUACUUAGGUCGGCCACAAAGAUUAUAAAUGUCGAUUUUUAGCUAACCAGGAGGGGGGAUUCGACUUCUAACCUAAUUUAGUCGACAAUUAACUUCUGUUAAGCCGUUUUGAGGGUCUAGAAGGCGGCCGGAAGGCCGUUAAGCUAACGGGAGCGGAGAUCGGAAGGAUUGGAGAGCGGAUACAUGUUGAUUAUCAUAUGGAUUGCUGACGUGACCAUGUUUAGCAUUCCAUUGUGGUACUUUUCUGUAUUUAGUUUCUGAUUUAGGUGUAAAAACCUUUUACUUUGUGUUUAUGAUUGAAUGAAGCUUUGAUUAUUAGACUAAUUGCUAUAUUAAAUAGUUUAUUUGUGUUUAAUUUAUCUUGCCAAGCUUGUUUAAAGAUCCUCAUGUGUUAAUGAUGAUUAUUUUCUGUUAAUUGUUAAGUGAAUUGAGUUGCUUGAACAUCCGCUUGGAUUGCUUGUCUCUUAUGAUUUUUGAUGACCAUCGAGAUUAUAAGACUAGAAAUAACGAAUGUGAAACUAGAAUUAAUUUGAGAAUAAGUAAGUUAAUGUGUGAGCCUUGUUUGAUGACCAUCAACAAGAGGUUAAUUAAAUGUCUACAUUGAUUAACUAUAUUUACAAGUCUUGCUU
RNAcentral lists this long non-coding RNA (6118 nucleotides) under Lactuca sativa (garden lettuce). Its description in RNAcentral is "long non-coding RNA (LSAT_LNC003949)". Lineage: Eukaryota; Viridiplantae; Streptophyta; Magnoliopsida; Asterales; Asteraceae. The record is from RNAcentral.